RNAcentral lists this ribosomal RNA (1331 nucleotides) under Argynnis hyperbius (Indian fritillary). RNAcentral's name for it is "16S ribosomal RNA". Lineage: Eukaryota; Metazoa; Arthropoda; Insecta; Lepidoptera; Nymphalidae. The record is from RNAcentral.
GGGGGUAAAUUAAUAAAAAUAAAUUUAAUAAAAAAAUUUUUAAUAUUGGGGGGUAUUAAAGUAUUUUUUAAAGAAAAAAUAAAAAAAUUUAUAGUAAAUUAAUAUUGUAAAAGAAAUUUGAAAUAAUAUUGAAAAUUCAUUAAAAAAAAAGUAAAUUUAAUUUAUUGUAUCUUGUGUAUCAGAGUUUAUUUAUAAAUAUUUAAUAGAUAAUAAAAUCUCGAAUUUAAAAGAGUUAAUUAAUUAUAAAAGUUAAUGUUGAAUAAUUAUUUUAAAUAAUUAAUUAGAAAUGAAAUGUUAAUCGUUUUUAAAUAUAUCUAGUUUUUUUAGAAAAAAAUUUAAUUUUAAAUUUGAAAAAUUUUAUAUUUAAUUAAUUAAAUAUAAAAUUUCAAAAUUAAAUAUUUUAGGGGAUAAGCUUUAAUUUAGAUAUUUAUAAUAUAAUUAAUUAUUAAUAAAAUUUUUAAGAUUUAUAUUGUUUAAAAAUUAUAAUUUAUUAAAAAAAAUUUUAUAAUAAAUAAAAUUUAAUUAAUAUAUUUAAUUUUUUAUAAAAAAAUAUUUUUUAAUAGUUAAAAAAUAGAAAUAAUGAUAAAAUUAGUAUAUUAAAUUAAAUAAAAAUAUAAAUAUUUAAAUUGAAAUUAAUUUAAAGGAAUUCGGCAAAAAAUUAUAUUCACUUGUUUAUCAAAAACAUGUCUUUUAGAUAAUAAUUUAAAGUCUAAUCUGCCCACUGAUUAUAAAAAAUUAAAGGGCUGCAGUAUAUUGACUGUACAAAGGUAGCAUAAUCAUUAGUCUUUUAAUUGAAGACUUGUAUGAAAGAUUUGAUGAAAUAUAAACUGUCUCUAAUUUAAUAAUAAAAAUUAAUUUUUUAGUUAAAAAGCUAAAAUUUAUUUAAAAGACGAGAAGACCCUAUAGAGUUUUAUAAUAAUAGUAAUUAAAAUUAAAUAUAUAAUUAUAAAUUAAAAUUUUUAUUAUUAUUUUGUUGGGGUGACAGAAAAAUUAAUAAAACUUUUUUUAUAAUAUUACAUAAAUAAGUGAAUUAAUGAUCCAUUUAUAAUGAUUAAAAGAAAAAAUUACCUUAGGGAUAACAGCGUAAUUUUUUUUUUUAGUACAAAUAAAAAAAAAAGGUUGCGACCUCGAUGUUGGAUUAAGAUAAAAAUUAAAUGCAAAAGUUUAAAAUUUUGAUCUGUUCGAUCAUUAAAAUCUUACAUGAUCUGAGUUCAAACCGGUGUAAGCCAGGUUGGUUUCUAUCUUUAAAAAAUUAAAAUAUUUUAGUACGAAAGGAUCAAAUAUUUAAAAUAAUUUUAAAAAAAAAAUGAAUAUUAAUAAAUUUAUUAUUA